This 450-nucleotide ribosomal RNA is filed under the name uncultured bacterium. RNAcentral describes it as "partial 16S ribosomal RNA". It matches the Rfam family "Bacterial small subunit ribosomal RNA", at positions 354 to 796 of the family's 1533-position model. The record is from RNAcentral.
GUGGGGAAUCUUCCGCAAUGGACGAAAGUCUGACGGAGCAACGCCGCGUGAACGAUGACGGCCUUCGGGUUGUAAAGUUCUGUUAUACGGGACGAAUGGUACGACGGUCAAUACCCGUCGUAAGUGACGGUACCGUAAGAGAAAGCCACGGCUAACUACGUGCCAGCAGCCGCGGUAAUACGUAGGUGGCAAGCGUUGUCCGGAAUUAUUGGGCGUAAAGGGCGCGCAGGCGGCGUCGUAAGUCGGUCUUAAAAGUGCGGGGCUUAACCCCGUGAGGGGACCGAAACUGCGAUGCUAGAGUAUCGGAGAGGAAAGCGGAAUUCCUAGUGUAGCGGUGAAAUGCGUAGAUAUUAGGAGGAACACCAGUGGCGAAAGCGGCUUUCUGGACGACAACUGACGCUGAGGCACGAAAGCCAGGGGAGCGAACGGGAUUAGAAACCCGGGUAGUCC